RNAcentral lists this ribosomal RNA (432 nucleotides) under uncultured bacterium. RNAcentral's name for it is "partial 16S ribosomal RNA". It matches the Rfam family "Bacterial small subunit ribosomal RNA", at positions 29 to 507 of the family's 1533-position model. The record is from RNAcentral.
ACGAACGCUGGCGGCCUGCCUAACACAUGCAAGUCGAACGAGACCUUCGGGUCUAGUGGCGCACGGGUGCGUAACGCGUGGGAACCUGCCCUUAGGUUCGGAAUAACUCCCCGAAAGGGGUGCUAAUACCGGAUAAUGUCUUCGGACCAAAGAUUUAUCGCCUUUGGAUGGGCCCGCGUUGGAUUAGCUAGUUGGUAGGGUAAAAGCCUACCAAGGCGACGAUCCAUAGCUGGUCUGAGAGGAUGAUUAGCCACACUGGGACUGAGACACGGCCCAGACUCCUACGGGAGGCAGCAGUGGGGAAUAUUGGACAAUGGGCGAAAGCCUGAUCCAGCAAUGCCGCGUGAGUGAUGAAGGCCUUAGGGUUGUAAAGCUCUUUUACCCGGGAUGAUAAUGACAGUACCGGGAGAAUAAGCUCCGGCUAACUCCGUG